Molecule: ribosomal RNA, 600 nt
Filed under: uncultured Methanosarcina sp.
Lineage: Archaea; Methanobacteriati; Methanobacteriota; Methanomicrobia; Methanosarcinales; Methanosarcinaceae
Description: bacterial SSU rRNA
Rfam family: Archaeal small subunit ribosomal RNA
Source: RNAcentral
GUUGUGAGAGCAAGAGCCCGGAGAUGGAUUCUGAGACAUGAAUUCAGGCCCUACGGGGCGCAGCAGGCGCGAAAACUUUACAAUGCGGGAAACCGUGAUAAGGGGACACCGAGUGUCAGCAUCAUAUGCUGGCUGUCCAGGUGUGUAAAAUACACCUGUUAGCAAGGGCCGGGCAAGACCGGUGCCAGCCGCCGCGGUAACACCGGCGGCCCGAGUGGUGAUCGUGAUUAUUGGGUCUAAAGGGUCCGUAGCCGGUUUGGUCAGUCCUCCGGGAAAUCUGAUAGCUCAACUAUUAGGCUAUCGGGGGAUACUACCAGACUUGGAACCGGGAGAGGUAAGAGGUACUACAGGGGUAGGAGUGAAAUCUUGUAAUCCCUGUGGGACCACCUGUGGCGAAGGCGUCUUACCAGAACGGGUUCGACGGUGAGGGACGAAAGCUGGGGGCACGAACCGGAUUAGAUACCCGGGUAGUCCCAGCCGUAAACGAUGCUCGCUAGGUGUCAGGCAUGGCGCGACCGUGUCUGGUGCCGCAGGGAAGCCGUGAAGCGAGCCACCUGGGAAGUACGGCCGCAAGGCUGAAACUUAAAGGAAUUGGCGGGG